RNAcentral lists this ribosomal RNA (2916 nucleotides) under Vibrio parahaemolyticus. Its description in RNAcentral is "bacterial LSU rRNA". It matches the Rfam family "Bacterial large subunit ribosomal RNA". Lineage: Bacteria; Pseudomonadati; Pseudomonadota; Gammaproteobacteria; Vibrionales; Vibrionaceae. The record is from RNAcentral.
GUUGUAUGGUUAAGUGACUAAGCGUACACGGUGGAUGCCUUGGCAGUCAGAGGCGAUGAAAGACGUAGUAACUUGCGAUAAGCCCAGAUUAGGUAGUAACAACCAUUUGAGUCUGGGAUUUCUGAAUGGGGAAACCCACUUACAUAAGUAAGUAUCAUUAACUGAAUACAUAGGUUAAUGAGGCGAACCGGGGGAACUGAAACAUCUAAGUACCCCGAGGAAAAGAAAUCAACCGAGAUUCCGAAAGUAGCGGCGAGCGAAAUUGGACUAGCCCUUAAGCUUUACACGCGUUAGACGAACGGUCUGGAAAGUCCGACGAUACAGGGUGAUAGUCCCGUAGUUGACGACGUGUGUUCAGUGAAAUCGAGUAGGGCGGGACACGUGAUAUCCUGUCUGAAUAUGGGGGGACCAUCCUCCAAGGCUAAAUACUACUGACUGACCGAUAGUGAACCAGUACCGUGAGGGAAAGGCGAAAAGAACCCCUGUGAGGGGAGUGAAAUAGAACCUGAAACCGUGUACGUACAAGCAGUAGGAGCAGGCUUUGUCCUGUGACUGCGUACCUUUUGUAUAAUGGGUCAGCGACUUAUAUUCAGUGGCAAGGUUAACCAUCUAGGGGAGCCGUAGGGAAACCGAGUCUUAACUGGGCGUUCAGUCUCUGGAUAUAGACCCGAAACCAGGUGAUCUAGCCAUGGGCAGGUUGAAGGUUGAGUAACAUCAACUGGAGGACCGAACCGACUAAUGUUGAAAAAUUAGCGGAUGACUUGUGGCUAGGGGUGAAAGGCCAAUCAAACCUGGAGAUAGCUGGUUCUCCCCGAAAGCUAUUUAGGUAGCGCCUCGGACGAAUACUACUGGGGGUAGAGCACUGUUAAGGCUAGGGGGUCAUCCCGACUUACCAACCCUUUGCAAACUCCGAAUACCAGUAAGUACUAUCCGGGAGACACACGGCGGGUGCUAACGUCCGUCGUGGAGAGGGAAACAACCCAGACCGCCAGCUAAGGUCCCAAAUUACUACUAAGUGGGAAACGAUGUGGGAAGGCUCAGACAGCCAGGAUGUUGGCUUAGAAGCAGCCAUCAUUUAAAGAAAGCGUAAUAGCUCACUGGUCGAGUCGGCCUGCGCGGAAGAUGUAACGGGGCUAAGUAGUAAACCGAAGCUGCGGCAAUAUACUUUUGUAUAUUGGGUAGGGGAGCGUUCUGUAAGCGGUUGAAGGUGUGUGGUAACGCAUGCUGGACGUAUCAGAAGUGCGAAUGCUGACAUGAGUAACGAUAAAGGGGGUGAAAAACCUCCUCGCCGGAAGACCAAGGGUUCCUGUCCAACGUUAAUCGGGGCAGGGUAAGUCGACCCCUAAGGCGAGGCCGAAAGGCGUAGUCGAUGGGAAACGGGUUAAUAUUCCCGUACUUCUUACAAUUGCGAUGGGGGGACGGAGAAGGCUAGGUGGGCCUGGCGACGGUUGUCCAGGUUCAAGUGCGUAGGCUUAAGAGUUAGGUAAAUCCGGCUCUUUUUAAGGCUGAGACACGACGUCGAGCACCUACGGGUGUGAAGUCAUUGAUGCCAUGCUUCCAGGAAAAGCCUCUAAGCUUCAGAUUGUAAGGAAUCGUACCCCAAACCGACACAGGUGGUCGGGUAGAGAAUACCAAGGCGCUUGAGAGAACUCGGGUGAAGGAACUAGGCAAAAUGGUACCGUAACUUCGGGAGAAGGUACGCUCUUGAUGGUGAAGUCCCUCGCGGAUGGAGCUGACGAGAGUCGCAGAUACCAGGUGGCUGCAACUGUUUAUUAAAAACACAGCACUGUGCAAAAUCGUAAGAUGACGUAUACGGUGUGACGCCUGCCCGGUGCCGGAAGGUUAAUUGAUGGGGUUAGACUUCGGUCGAAGCUCUUGAUCGAAGCCCCGGUAAACGGCGGCCGUAACUAUAACGGUCCUAAGGUAGCGAAAUUCCUUGUCGGGUAAGUUCCGACCUGCACGAAUGGCGUAAUGAUGGCCACGCUGUCUCCACCCGAGACUCAGUGAAAUUGAAAUCGCUGUGAAGAUGCAGUGUACCCGCGGCUAGACGGAAAGACCCCGUGAACCUUUACUACAGCUUGGCACUGAACAUUGACCCUACAUGUGUAGGAUAGGUGGGAGGCUUUGAAGCACGUACGCCAGUAUGUGUGGAGCCGUCCUUGAAAUACCACCCUUGUAGUGUUGAUGUUCUAACGUCGACCCCUUAUCGGGGUUGCGGACAGUGCCUGGUGGGUAGUUUGACUGGGGCGGUCUCCUCCCAAAGAGUAACGGAGGAGCACGAAGGUGGGCUAAUCACGGUUGGACAUCGUGAGGUUAGUGCAAUGGCAUAAGCCCGCUUGACUGCGAGAAUGACAAUUCGAGCAGGUGCGAAAGCAGGUCAUAGUGAUCCGGUGGUUCUGAAUGGAAGGGCCAUCGCUCAACGGAUAAAAGGUACUCCGGGGAUAACAGGCUGAUACCGCCCAAGAGUUCAUAUCGACGGCGGUGUUUGGCACCUCGAUGUCGGCUCAUCACAUCCUGGGGCUGAAGUCGGUCCCAAGGGUAUGGCUGUUCGCCAUUUAAAGUGGUACGCGAGCUGGGUUUAGAACGUCGUGAGACAGUUCGGUCCCUAUCUGCCGUGGGCGUUGGAAGAUUGAAGGGGGCUGCUCCUAGUACGAGAGGACCGGAGUGGACGAACCUCUGGUGUUCGGGUUGUGUCGCCAGACGCAUUGCCCGGUAGCUAAGUUCGGAAUCGAUAACCGCUGAAAGCAUCUAAGCGGGAAGCGAGCCCUGAGAUGAGUCUUCCCUGAUACUUUAAGUAUCCUAAAGGGUUGUCGGAGACUACGACGUUGAUAGGUCAGGUGUGUAAGUGCUGUGAGGCAUUGAGCUAACUGAUACUAAUUGCCCGUGAGGCUUAACCAUACAACACCCAAGGGGUUU